This 472-nucleotide ribosomal RNA is filed under the name uncultured bacterium. Its description in RNAcentral is "partial 16S ribosomal RNA". It matches the Rfam family "Bacterial small subunit ribosomal RNA", at positions 30 to 507 of the family's 1533-position model. The record is from RNAcentral.
AGUGAACGCUGGCGGUAGGCCUAACACAUGCAAGUCGAACGGCAGCACAGUAAGAGCUUGCUCUUACGGGUGGCGAGUGGCGGACGGGUGAGGAAUACAUCGGAAUCUACUUUUUCGUGGGGGAUAACGUAGGGAAACUUACGCUAAUACCGCAUACGACCUACGGGUGAAAGCAGGGGAUCUUCGGACCUUGCGCGAUUGAAUGAGCCGAUGUCGGAUUAGCUAGUUGGCGGGGUAAAGGCCCACCAAGGCGACGAUCCGUAGCUGGUCUGAGAGGAUGAACGGCCACAUUGGGACUGAGAUACGGCCCAGACUGCGACGGGAGGCAGCAGUGGGGAAUAGUGCACAAUGGGCGGAAGACUGAUGCAGCAACGCCGCGUGCCGGAUGACGGCCGUCGGGUUGUAAAACGCAAUCGCCUGUGAAGAAGCGUGAGUGAGGGGAAUGGGUAAAGAAGCACCGGCUCACUACGUG